AUCCUCACCCAUUCCCCCUCCCCCUCCGACACCCGGCAGGACCGACUGAAGACCUCAAAGUUCAUUUUUAAAUGUCUGGUUGACACAUGCAGCCUGUCGGUAUGAAUGUUGCAGCAGUCACAAUAUCAUCGUGCACAUGAGGACGUAGGGACGACGUGUACGUCUCUGGCAGAGACCUGUCAAUCACCAGGUAGCCCCGCCCUAAAGCACAUCCCACUUUAUGGUCCAUUUUGACUAAAUGAACAUCAUCCUCUAUUGAAGAAGACUUGAAACUAGAGAUCAUGAGACUAUGAACUCAUGUUUUAAAUCAAGAAAGAAGUAGAUUCAUUUCCUCAUAGACUUCUAUAGGACCAGAGGUGUCGCCCCCUGGUGGUCACUAGAAAGAAUGCAGCUGACAUGAAGCAUCUCAACCUUACUUUUCUGUUUGUUUCUUUAUAUUGAUACAUUUAUGUAUUGUAAGAAUUAUAUCAAUAACUCAUCCACCUGUCCGGCAGGUCAAGGCUCAUAGCCUCUUCUUUAGGGUUCAUCGCGUCGAUCCUGCUGCAGUCUGACAGCUCAUACACAUACACGCACACUUUUACCCUUUGAUGUACACUGCGGAGAUGCUGGGCAGGAAGCGGCGUUCGCUAAAGGGAAAGCGAUCCGCUCUCACGUGAAACACCGGAUGACUGACACAAGGACACAAAUCGUGCACGAGUCAGAUUUGAUGAAUUAUAGAAAAACCUCCAUAAAAACAGGCUUUCAGAGAUCUGCCGUUCUUCCCUCCGGAGGUCGAUAUCAAUUUUUAUCACAACGUGAUCUGCAGAAAAACAUCAGAGAGACACAUUCAAGCUAAUGUGUCUUUAAAUAUACAGUUAGUUCAAUAAUGUAUACAGACUUUUUAUUAUUUUUAGCCACAGCAUUGGAUAAACAAUGUCAUUCUGGUCAGGCUCUCUUCUUUACGUUUAGAUUGCUGUGUUUGAUUCGAAACAUUUUACUGUCUCCAGUUCUUAUUUCGGCUUCCAUCAUAAUACAAAAAAACUAUUGUUUGGAUUAACAUUAGAUCUAAACAUCAAGACAAUUACCACAUUUUAUAAAGUACCAAAAUGUCUAGAUUUCAGGACUAAAACAAACUAUAUUAUGGAUCUGUGGUAUUCAGAGUUGGCACUUUUCAGAAUGAACUGGAAAAGAAACGUAAUUUUCAGAGACCAAACCGUAACACGGUUAUAAUCGUUGAAUUAACACUUGUCUCUUAUGCAGGUGGGUCGAGUGGUUAUUCCAUACGUCCCACCCCCAUGAAGCUCUAUGGCCACAAUUAAUCUGUUGGGUUAAGUGCUUCUUCUGUCUUGUUUCCAGUAACAUCUGGUUCUGCAACGACGAGUCAAGCCGACAUUUCAUGUGUCAAAGCUGCAAUCUUGCUAGUGACCCCCAGGGGGCGACUCUUCUGGUCCUGUAGAGGUCUAUGAGUAAAUCACUCUACUUCUUUAUUUAUUCCCUCAGUAAACAUUGUAAACAUACAUGCAUGGUCUCAUCAUCUCUAGUUCCAAGUUUUCAUCAACAAAGCAUGAUGUUCAUUUAGUAAAUGUCCAUUUAGAGUCACAUAGACUAUAAGGCAAGGGAGGCUUUAGGGCGGGGCUACACAGUGAUUGACAGGUCUCCAAACCGGCGUUGUAUGAUCUGAAAGUUGUUUGUGUUUCAUCUUACAUCUUGAAGUCUUCAACAGUGUGUUUUUAGUUUGUAAAAGUUCAUUUUAACAAAAUGUUCUGAUUCAGGUGUUUAUUUGUAUUAGGCUCCACCCCCUCGUGUCAAUCAUUCCAAACCAAAGUUGGCAACAGUCCACUGACAGUCCACCAACCACCGGGUGACGACCACAUUCACUUUUUGUUUUAAAGAGACUUUGUGAGGACCAGCUUGUUGUGUCUGUUGGUAUUUCUGAGGAUGAAGAUUCUAUUUGACUUAUUUCUCUGUAGAAUAAUAAACUUGUAGAUUGACGUUGUUCCAUUUUACGCUGACUGAACUGAUCAAAAAUCCUUGAAGUUUUACGUGAAGAAAAUAGUUUCACAUCAUCACUCGUUUCUAUUUCUAAUCUCAUCAUUAAUUAAGACUUAACAAAAGCAUAUAUAACGCAGAUUGUGCUGCAAAAUAAUAACAGAAAUCUUUCUUAGACAAUAAAAAUAAAGAAAAAGUUAGAAAGCAUUCAUUUUGCACCUACAUCUGAAGUGUAAUUAAAACAUAUUGAAGGAUGAAUAUGAAUUGAAUAAAGAAAAUGUUAUAGAAGCUGUAGGCCAAAAUCUGUCGAGAAAUAUGACUUAAAAGCAAAAUCAGAAACAUUUUAUAAAUACUUACAUAUUGGGAAAAAACGAUAGAGACAAUACUCACCUCUGAUAUGUACUACAGUAAAAGUACAAUUUGUACCUCUGAGAUGAAAUGGAGGGUAAGACAGUACUCUGAUAUGUCCUCAAGGUGAGUAUUUGAGUCUCUUGAUGAUGUCACACAGGAAGUGACAGGAAAAGGAACUUAUGAACAAAUGAACAUAAUAACAUUAAAAUGUUAACAUACUAACAUGGCUGUGGAGGUGAACGACCUUUAAAGAUGUUAGGGUUAGGGGUUAGGCUUUCGCUGAAACGUAAAGAACCACUUGUGUGGCUCUUUUUCUUGCAUUAAAGGGGGAUUCAAAUGAAUAAUUGCAUUUAUUACACUUACAAAUACUUGUUUUCCUUUGAGUUUUUUUGGAAUACCUGAUGAGAAGUUUGUGUGCCUUCAGCGAGAGGCCUCCCGUCCACCUGUUUGAAGCCUCGGUGAGGGGUGAGGGUGGGGCGGGACGAAGUUACUCCGAUCGUAUCAAUUAAUACCAAUGAAGACCUUAAGUGACAACAUGGGGAGGCAUUAGGCCGACAAAGUGCGGCAGCUUUGUUCCUGCGGGGCGCCAGCUGCCGGCGCCGGGCCCAGAGGAACGCCAUCGCCACGCCGCCACGUUCUGCUCCGGUGCCGCGGCAGGGACGCGGCGGGCGGCGCGACGCAGCCGGGC
Molecule: long non-coding RNA, 3007 nt
Organism: Gasterosteus aculeatus aculeatus (three-spined stickleback)
Lineage: Eukaryota; Metazoa; Chordata; Actinopteri; Perciformes; Gasterosteidae
Source: Ensembl